GCCUACGGGGGGCAGCAGUAGGGAAUUUUCGUCAAUGGGCGCAAGCCUGAACGAGCAAUGCCGCGUGAACGAGGAAGGUCUUCGGAUCGUAAAGUUCUGUUGAAGGGGAAAAAGAGCGGAGAGAGGAAAUGAACUCCGAUUGAUAUUACCCUUCGAGGAAGUCACGGCUAACUACGUGCCAGCAGCCGCGGUAAUACGUAGGUGGCGGGCGUUAUCCGGAAUGAUUGGGCGUAAAGGGUGCGUAGGUGGCCUGCUAAGUCUGGAGUGAAAGGUACCGGCUCAACCGGUACAGGCUCUGCAAACUG
RNAcentral lists this ribosomal RNA (305 nucleotides) under uncultured bacterium. RNAcentral's name for it is "bacterial SSU rRNA". It matches the Rfam family "Bacterial small subunit ribosomal RNA", at positions 337 to 635 of the family's 1533-position model. The record is from RNAcentral.